RNAcentral lists this ribosomal RNA (409 nucleotides) under uncultured Nitrososphaerota archaeon. RNAcentral's name for it is "bacterial SSU rRNA". It matches the Rfam family "Archaeal small subunit ribosomal RNA", at positions 452 to 861 of the family's 1478-position model. Lineage: Archaea; Thermoproteati; Nitrososphaerota. The record is from RNAcentral.
CUGGUGUCAGCCGCCGCGGUAAUACCAGCACCUCGAGUGGUCAGGACGUUUAUUGGGCCUAAAGCAUCCGUAGCCGGCUCUGCAAGUCUUCGGUUAAAUCCACCUGCUCAACAGAUGGGCUGCUGGAGAUACUACAGAGCUAGGGAGUGGGAGAGGCAGACGGUAUUCAGUGGGUAGGGGUAAAAUCCUCUGAUCCAUUGAGGACCACCAGUGGCGAAGGCGGUCUGCCAGAACACGUUCGACGGUGAGGGAUGAAAGCUGGGGGAGCAAACCGGAUUAGAUACCCGGGUAGUCCCAGCUGUAAACGAUGCAAACUCGGUAAUGCAUUGGCUUAUGGCCAAUGCAGUGCCGCAGGGAAGCCGUUAAGUUUGCCGCCUGGGAAGUACGGACGCAAGUCUGAAACUUAAAG